GUUAAGGCCCUGUGCAAUAUGACACCACGAACCUUGUCAGGUCCUGACGGAAGCAGCAAUAAGAGGAUUGUCGUAUGUGCCACAGACCAGUCUUAUGGCA
Eubacterium saphenum ATCC 49989 is the source of this 100-nucleotide non-coding RNA. It matches the Rfam family "Bacterial small signal recognition particle RNA". From Rfam's summary of the family: The signal recognition particle (SRP) is a universally conserved ribonucleoprotein involved in the co-translational targeting of proteins to membranes. Archaeal SRP consists of a 7S RNA and homologues of the eukaryotic SRP19 and SRP54 proteins. In most bacteria, the SRP consists of a 4.5S RNA and the Ffh protein (a homologue of the eukaryotic SRP54 protein). Lineage: Bacteria; Bacillati; Bacillota; Clostridia; Peptostreptococcales; Anaerovoracaceae. The record is from Rfam.